GAUGAACGCUGGCGGCGUGCCUAAUACAUGCAAGUCGAACGCUUUGUCUUUAAUUGAUAUGACGAGCUUGCUCUGAUUUGAUUUUAUCUGACAAAGAGUGGCGAACGGGUGAGUAACACGUGGGUAACCUACCUCUUAGCAGGGGAUAACAUUUGGAAACAAGUGCUAAUACCGUAUAACACUAACAACCGCAUGGUUGUUAGUUGAAAGAUGGUUCUGCUAUCACUAAGAGAUGGACCCGCGGUGCAUUAGCUAGUUGGUAAGGUAAUGGCUUACCAAGGCGAUGAUGCGUAGCCGAGUUGAGAGACUGAUCGGCCACAAUGGGACUGAGACACGGCCCAUACUCCUACGGGAGGCAGCAGUAGGGAAUCUUCCACAAUGGGCGCAAGCCUGAUGGAGCAACGCCGCGUGUGUGAUGAAGGGUUUCGGCUCGUAAAACACUGUUAUAAGAGAAGAACGACAUUGAGAGUAACUGUUCAGUGUGUGACGGUAUCUUAUCAGAAAGGAACGGCUAAAUACGUG
This 522-nucleotide ribosomal RNA is filed under the name uncultured bacterium. RNAcentral describes it as "partial 16S ribosomal RNA". It matches the Rfam family "Bacterial small subunit ribosomal RNA", at positions 28 to 507 of the family's 1533-position model. The record is from RNAcentral.